ACGGCCCAGACUCCUACGGGAGGCAGCAGUAGGGAAUUUUGCGCAAUGGACGAAAGUCUGACGCAGCAACACCGUGUGAGGGAUGAAGCAUUUCGGUGUGUAAACCUCUGUCGAUGAUGAAUAAAGCAUGGGGGAGUGGAAAGCCUCCGUGUUGAAGGUAAUCAUGAAGGAAGCACCGGCUAACUCUGUGCCAGCAGCCGCGGUAAUACAGGGGGUGCAAGCGUUGUUCGGAAUCACUGGGCGUAAAGGGAGCGUAGGCGGAACUACAAGACAGAGGUUAAAUCUCCGGGCUCAACCUGGAACUUGCCUUUGUGACUGUGGUUCUUGAGUAUGGUAGAGGUUGGCGGAAUUUCCGGUGUAGCGGUGGAAUGCGUAGAGAUCGGAAAGAACACCAGAGGCGAAGGCGGCCAACUGGACCAAUACUGACGCUGAGGCUCGAAAGCGUGGGGAGCAAACAGGAUUAGAUACCCUGGUAGUCCACGCUGUAAACGAUGAACACUAGAUGUCGGGAGGGGUUCCUUCCGGUGUCGUCGCUAACGCAGUAAGUGUUCCGCCUGGGGAGUACGCUCGCAAGGGUG
RNAcentral lists this ribosomal RNA (578 nucleotides) under uncultured bacterium. RNAcentral's name for it is "bacterial SSU rRNA". It matches the Rfam family "Bacterial small subunit ribosomal RNA", at positions 326 to 896 of the family's 1533-position model. The record is from RNAcentral.